GAGUUCCGACUUCUAAUUUUAAGGUUAACUUUGUUAUUGUUAUUGUAUUGCUAUUAUAAUAAAUUGAACGAUGUAACUUCCAUCGUUAAACUUACAUCAUGUAAGCGACUGUGGUUAUUAACUGAUUGAUCUACUCAUUGAAAAACAGAUUUGUUGAUUUGAAAUUAAUGUGCGGGUUUCCGAUAUUGAAAAGGUCGAUAAAUUUGGCAGUGUUUCAAAACGGUGGUUUCCUAGAAGCAAGCAAAUUCAAAAUUCUCCAAUGAUAACCGCUAGAAGCCGGGUGAGUGUUUGGCAGAUUUUAUUUACUAAAAUCGAGUGCAGUAAAUGUGAUACAGUUUUUCAGUAGAAUAGCAUUAGCAAACUGUUAAGAGUUAAACCUUAGAGAAUCUUGUGGAAGAUUACACCAAGAAUGAAAUUAUUCCAGGACAAAGUGAUGGUUCAAUAGAAAAAACUGAGAACCUCAGUCAUCAUUUGGGUAAUAACAAUAUUUAUUCAACAAGUUAAAUAAACAUACGGCUCACCAAAUCAUAUACUGUUUUUCUAUGAAGGAGGUGAACAAAUACAUGGUAACAGAAGCUUUAGCUAGGAGCUAUCCCUUCUACGUGAUACCUUCAGAGAGUUCUCCUUACUUUUCAUGUUGUGCCAGUGUGCAAUGGGACAAUAUAUUAUUUUAGACUUUUUUAUGUAAAGCCACAUGUUCUUGUAAUCUUUAAUGUGGAUCAAUUGUUUACAUUGAAUCGUUUUGAGCAAAUUGUUCAAGUGUCUAUGCCAUCAUUUGAUAGUUAAGCAAAUAUCCUUAGUUGUGGUAACCAGCAUAAGUGAAAUAUUUUGCAAGUAUUUUUCAAAAAAAUACUGACAUACUGAAAACAUUUUUCAUUGAAAGAUAUUUACCACAUAUUAUUAGUUGAAAUGGUUUAUAUUAUAUAUUUAUAAAUGAAAAUUCUGAUAUCCCUAGCGAAGAAAAUCUUAUGGAGGCAAACAAAUUAUCAAAAAUAUUCAUUUAUUCCUGGAUUGAGUGACACUCAAAAUGCAAUCACUACAUUUCUUCAUUUAAGAGUUGGUAGGAACUUAUCCUCCCCACUUAUAGGUUUGCUAAGAAAAUGCUUUUGAUUUCAAUAACUACGAGGCAUAUUAUAGUUGAGCAUUUAGUGCAAGAAUGGUACAUACAUAGUGCAUAUGACUGUGGCAUGUGGGUGUUUUUUUUGUGUGUAGUUGACUGUUCAUUUAUCUACAGGGUUAUCUCACAAGAUUGUUAAUGGCCAAAACCUCUUCCUUCUAUCUUCUUU
Coccinella septempunctata (seven-spotted ladybird) is the source of this 1286-nucleotide long non-coding RNA. RefSeq lists it as uncharacterized. The record is from RefSeq and is a predicted model, not a curated record. The transcript is spliced from 2 exons. NCBI's taxonomy places the organism in Eukaryota, Metazoa, Arthropoda, Insecta, Coleoptera, Coccinellidae.